Molecule: ribosomal RNA, 468 nt
Filed under: uncultured bacterium
Lineage: Bacteria
Description: partial 16S ribosomal RNA
Rfam family: Bacterial small subunit ribosomal RNA
Source: RNAcentral
GACGAACGCUGGCGGCGUGCUUAACACAUGCAAGUCGAACGGAAAGGCCCUGCUUUUGUGGGGUGCUCGAGUGGAGAACGGGUGUGUAACACGUGAGUAACCUGCCCUUGACUUUGGGAUAACUUCAGGAAACUGGGGAUAAUACCGGAUAGGAGCUCCUGCUGCAUGGUGGGGGUUGGAAAGUUUCGGCGGUUGGGGAUGGACUCGCGGCUUAUCAGCUUGUUGGUGGGGUAGUGGCUUACCAAGGCUUUGACGGGUAGCCGGCCUGAGAGGGUGACCGGCCACAUUGGGACUGAGAUACGGCCCAAACUCCAACGGGAGGCAGCGGGGGGGAUUAUUGCACAAUGGGCGGAAGCCGGAUGCAGCAACGCCGCGUGCGGGAGGACGGCCUUCGGGUUGUAAACCGCUUUCGCCUGUGACGAAGCGUGAGUGACGGUAAUGGGUAAAGAAGCACCGGCUAACUACGUG